RNAcentral lists this ribosomal RNA (1199 nucleotides) under Staphylococcus aureus. Its description in RNAcentral is "bacterial SSU rRNA". It matches the Rfam family "Bacterial small subunit ribosomal RNA", at positions 1 to 1181 of the family's 1533-position model. Lineage: Bacteria; Bacillati; Bacillota; Bacilli; Caryophanales; Staphylococcaceae. The record is from RNAcentral.
UUUAUGGAGAGUUUGAUCCUGGCUCAGGAUGAACGCUGGCGGCGUGCCUAAUACAUGCAAGUCGAGCGAACGGACGAGAAGCUUGCUUCUCUGAUGUUAGCGGCGGACGGGUGAGUAACACGUGGAUAACCUACCUAUAAGACUGGGAUAACUUCGGGAAACCGGAGCUAAUACCGGAUAAUAUUUUGAACCGCAUGGUUCAAAAGUGAAAGACGGUCUUGCUGUCACUUAUAGAUGGAUCCGCGCUGCAUUAGCUAGUUGGUAAGGUAACGGCUUACCAAGGCAACGAUGCAUAGCCGACCUGAGAGGGUGAUCGGCCACACUGGAACUGAGACACGGUCCAGACUCCUACGGGAGGCAGCAGUAGGGAAUCUUCCGCAAUGGGCGAAAGCCUGACGGAGCAACGCCGCGUGAGUGAUGAAGGUCUUCGGAUCGUAAAACUCUGUUAUUAGGGAAGAACAUAUGUGUAAGUAACUGUGCACAUCUUGACGGUACCUAAUCAGAAAGCCACGGCUAACUACGUGCCAGCAGCCGCGGUAAUACGUAGGUGGCAAGCGUUAUCCGGAAUUAUUGGGCGUAAAGCGCGCGUAGGCGGUUUUUUAAGUCUGAUGUGAAAGCCCACGGCUCAACCGUGGAGGGUCAUUGGAAACUGGAAAACUUGAGUGCAGAAGAGGAAAGUGGAAUUCCAUGUGUAGCGGUGAAAUGCGCAGAGAUAUGGAGGAACACCAGUGGCGAAGGCGACUUUCUGGUCUGUAACUGACGCUGAUGUGCGAAAGCGUGGGGAUCAAACAGGAUUAGAUACCCUGGUAGUCCACGCCGUAAACGAUGAGUGCUAAGUGUUAGGGGGUUUCCGCCCCUUAGUGCUGCAGCUAACGCAUUAAGCACUCCGCCUGGGGAGUACGACCGCAAGGUUGAAACUCAAAGGAAUUGACGGGGACCCGCACAAGCGGUGGAGCAUGUGGUUUAAUUCGAAGCAACGCGAAGAACCUUACCAAAUCUUGACAUCCUUUGACAACUCUAGAGAUAGAGCCUUCCCCUUCGGGGGACAAAGUGACAGGUGGUGCAUGGUUGUCGUCAGCUCGUGUCGUGAGAUGUUGGGUUAAGUCCCGCAACGAGCGCAACCCUUAAGCUUAGUUGCCAUCAUUAAGUUGGGCACUCUAAGUUGACUGCCGGUGACAAACCGGAGGAAGGUGGGGAUG